UGUGGCAGAUGAUGAACGUUUAUAUCUUAUUGUACACUCAAAUUGAUCAGUGUUGACUACAUACUUCGCUUAUUAUCUGAUAACAUG
Non-coding RNA from Punica granatum (pomegranate), 87 nucleotides. The record is from Rfam. Lineage: Eukaryota; Viridiplantae; Streptophyta; Magnoliopsida; Myrtales; Lythraceae.